UACGGAAGGAGCAAGCGUUAAUCGGAAUUACUGGGCGUAAAGCGUGCGUAGGCGGCUGCUUAAGUCAGAUGUGAAAGCCCCGGGCUUAACCUGGGAACGGCAUUUGAUACUGGGCAGCUCGAGUUGAGUAGAGGAGAGGGGAAUUUCAGGUGUAGCGGUGAAAUGCGUAGAGAUCGGAAGGAACACCAGUGGCGAAGGCGCCUCUCUGGACUCAAACUGACGCUGAGGUAAGAAAGCGUGGGUAGCAAACAGG
Molecule: ribosomal RNA, 253 nt
Filed under: uncultured bacterium
Lineage: Bacteria
Description: partial 16S ribosomal RNA
Rfam family: Bacterial small subunit ribosomal RNA
Source: RNAcentral